UCUUAACACCUUCCUGACAUUAUGGAGCAAUGUGCGAAAUUUAGAACACCUACUCCUCAUCGAUUUCGAGAAUGCUUUUGACAACGUGAACCGGAAGCGUAUCUGGAAUGCUCUAUACAUUCCGGAAAAACAAACGGCUGUUAUCAGAGCGAGAUAUAAUAGCUCCAAGUGACGCACACUUCAUCGGGGUAAAAUCUCACAGGAAUUUGAAGUUUUUAGCGGAGUCCACCAGGGUGUAACUUGUCACUGAAACUUUUUCGUCUCCUUAUCAUUCCUGAUCUACGCUAAUGACAUCUGAGUGUUCUCUCGCCGCGUUGUGGAAUUUGGCCAAAUGGCUAUGGAUUUAGAAAAGCAGUCAACAGGCGCGGAAUAGUAGAGGAGAAGUGCAAUCUUCUUGGGAAAACGUGGAGGGAGUUGCAAUAAGUCUCAGCGUACCGAUAAGGAUAGUCAUGACUCCAAAACAUGGAUUUGAAGCUGGCUACAAGUUAUUAUAGCUUCUCUUGUGGCUGGAACUACAAGCGUUAUAUAUGGCGAUGAUGAAGGUUCAAAAGUCUAUGGACAACUGCUUUGGAGCAACGAGGUAGUAGUGCGUUAUAAAUAGAUAUAAUUUCGGACCUAAUGCCUCCGAUCGUUUUAAAAUUUGCCAUCCCAACUGUAUAUAACCCCUCAAUCGAGAAAGAACAAGGUUAGUGCAAAAGAUAUGAAUGACCCCUUCCUAAUACAGCAAGCGGUCACAGGGAAUUAUGUGUAUAUUAACGUACCACCAACUAAUAAAAUCCUCCGGGGAAACUUAAGGGUUCCUAAAAGUUAUAACAUUUUUUGGAGCCAUUUCGGUACUGACAAGGAAAUAGGUUUUUUAACUUGAAUUCGAAGAAACUGGAAAAUUGAUUGUCUUGUCUUACAGUGAAAGGUGAACUUCUUGAUUACUUUAAAUUGACUGAGAUAACCCUCAUAGAAUACACAUACCUUACAUCAUAGCACUGUGCAUAGUCUGUUGUGAAAUUUACGGUUUAGGUUUCUUUAGGGCUUCCCUCGAUUUCAUUUGAUUAUUUAGGGUGGCUUA
This is a long non-coding RNA of Hermetia illucens (black soldier fly), 1063 nucleotides long. RefSeq lists it as uncharacterized. The record is from RefSeq and is a predicted model, not a curated record. NCBI's taxonomy places the organism in Eukaryota, Metazoa, Arthropoda, Insecta, Diptera, Stratiomyidae. The transcript has 3 exons.